Molecule: ribosomal RNA, 205 nt
Filed under: uncultured bacterium
Lineage: Bacteria
Description: partial 16S ribosomal RNA
Rfam family: Bacterial small subunit ribosomal RNA
Source: RNAcentral
UACGUAGGGUGCAAGCGUUAAUCGGAAUUACUGGGCGUAAAGCGUGCGCAGGCGGUGAUGUAAGACAGAUGUGAAAUCCCCGGGCUCAACCUGGGAACUGCAUUUGUGACUGCAUCGCUGGAGUACGGCAGAGGGGGGGAUGGAAUUCCGCGUGUAGCAGUGAAAUGCGUAGAUAUGCGGAGGAACACCGAUGGCGGAAGGCAAU